CCUACGGGAGGCAGCAGUGGGGAAUUUUGCGCAAUGGGGGCAACCCUGACGCAGCAACGCCGCGUGAGCGAUGAAGGCCUUCGGGUCGUAAAGCUCUGUCAGAGGGGAAGAAAUGCAGGUGGUGAACAACCAUUCUGUUUGACGGUACCCUCAAAGGAAGCACCGGCUAACUCCGUGCCAGCAGCCGCGGUAAUACGGAGGGUGCGAGCGUUGUUCGGAAUUAUUGGGCGUAAAGCGCGUGUAGGCGGUUUGUUAAGUCUGAGGUGAAAGCCCCGGGCUAAACCUGGGAAGUGCAUUGGAUACUGGCAGACUUGAGUACGGGAGAGGAGAGUGGAAUUCCCAGUGUAGGAGUGAAAUCUGUAGAUAUCGGGAGGAACACCAGUGGCGAAGGCGGUUUUCUGGCCCAUUUCUGACGCUGAGCGGCGAAAGCUAGGGGAGCAAACAGG
RNAcentral lists this ribosomal RNA (446 nucleotides) under uncultured Desulfuromonadales bacterium. RNAcentral describes it as "partial 16S ribosomal RNA". It matches the Rfam family "Bacterial small subunit ribosomal RNA", at positions 338 to 776 of the family's 1533-position model. Lineage: Bacteria; Pseudomonadati; Thermodesulfobacteriota; Desulfuromonadia; Desulfuromonadales. The record is from RNAcentral.